Molecule: ribosomal RNA, 847 nt
Filed under: Curvularia affinis
Lineage: Eukaryota; Fungi; Ascomycota; Dothideomycetes; Pleosporales; Pleosporaceae
Description: eukaryotic LSU rRNA
Rfam family: Eukaryotic large subunit ribosomal RNA
Source: RNAcentral
GGGAUUGCCUUAGUAACGGCGAGUGAAGCGGCAACAGCUCAAAUUUGAAAUCUGGCUCUUUCAGAGUCCGAGUUGUAAUUUGCAGAGGGCGCUUUGGCUUUGGCAGCGGUCCAAGUUCCUUGGAACAGGACGUCACAGAGGGUGAGAAUCCCGUACGUGGUCGCUAGCUAUUGCCGUGUAAAGCCCCUUCGACGAGUCGAGUUGUUUGGGAAUGCAGCUCUAAAUGGGAGGUAAAUUUCUUCUAAAGCUAAAUAUUGGCCAGAGACCGAUAGCGCACAAGUAGAGUGAUCGAAAGAUGAAAAGCACUUUGGAAAGAGAGUCAAACAGCACGUGAAAUUGUUGAAAGGGAAGCGCUUGCAGCCAGACUUGCUUGCAGUUGCUCAUCCGGGCUUUUGCCCGGUGCACUCUUCUGCAGGCAGGCCAGCAUCAGUUUGGGCGGUGGGAUAAAGGUCUCUGUCACGUUCCUUCCUUCGGGUUGGCCAUAUAGGGGAGAUGUCAUACCACCAGCCUGGACUGAGGUCCGCGCAUCUGCUAGGAUGCUGGCGUAAUGGCUGUAAGCGGCCCGUCUUGAAACACGGACCAAGGAGUCUAACAUCUAUGCGAGUGUUUGGGUGUCAAGCCCGAGCGCGUAAUGAAAGUGAACGGAGGUGGGAACCCGCAAGGGCGCACCAUCGACCGAUCCUGAAGUUUACGGAAGGAUUUGAGUAAGAGCAUGGCUGUUGGGACCCGAAAGAUGGUGAACUAUGCUUGAAUAGGGUGAAGCCAGAGGAAACUCUGGUGGAGGCUCGCAGCGGUUCUGACGUGCAAAUCGAUCGUCAAAUUUGGGCAUAGGGGCGAAAGACUAAUC